RNAcentral lists this ribosomal RNA (404 nucleotides) under Pseudomonas sp. RNAcentral's name for it is "partial 16S ribosomal RNA". It matches the Rfam family "Bacterial small subunit ribosomal RNA", at positions 355 to 776 of the family's 1533-position model. RNAcentral also lists the same sequence under 3 other names. Lineage: Bacteria; Pseudomonadati; Pseudomonadota; Gammaproteobacteria; Pseudomonadales; Pseudomonadaceae. The record is from RNAcentral.
UGGGGAAUAUUGGACAAUGGGCGCAAGCCUGAUCCAGCCAUGCCGCGUGAGUGAUGAAGGCCCUAGGGUUGUAAAGCUCUUUCACCGGUGAAGAUAAUGACGGUAACCGGAGAAGAAGCCCCGGCUAACUUCGUGCCAGCAGCCGCGGUAAUACGAAGGGGGCUAGCGUUGUUCGGAUUUACUGGGCGUAAAGCGCACGUAGGCGGACUUUUAAGUCAGGGGUGAAAUCCCGGGGCUCAACCCCGGAACUGCCUUUGAUACUGGAAGUCUUGAGUAUGGUAGAGGUGAGUGGAAUUCCGAGUGUAGAGGUGGAAUUCGUAGAUAUUCGGAGGAACACCAGUGGCGAAGGCGGCUCACUGGACCAUUACUGACGCUGAGGUGCGAAAGCGUGGGGAGCAAACAGG